Molecule: long non-coding RNA, 2649 nt
Organism: Oncorhynchus gorbuscha (pink salmon)
Lineage: Eukaryota; Metazoa; Chordata; Actinopteri; Salmoniformes; Salmonidae
Exons: 3
Source: RefSeq, a predicted model, not a curated record
GUCGCAGUUGCACAUCUUCCAUCGGAAACGCCGCGGUCCAAGAAGCGCAAAAGCCCAAAGACUACCUCAUACUGGUCAUAUUGUCCUGCUUCUGCCCUGUCUGGCCCGUCAGCAUUGUUGCUUUGUUAUUUUCAAUUAUGUCAAGAAACAGCCUGCAGUCGGGAGACAUGGACGGCGCUAAGAGACUGGGUAAACUGGCUCGACUCCUCAGUGUCGUUUCCAUAUUCCUGGGUGUGCUCAUCAUAGUCGUCUCUGUAACGGUCUCUGUAACCAAGUGACCAGUGUAUAUACUAUGAAACAAGAGCACUGCUGCAAGCCAAGCAGAGGAUGCAGCAUGGAAAAAAUAUAUAAAUUCCAUUGAUUCCUGAGAUGAAAAAAAAUAUCAUCACCUGCUCAACACUGUAAUCAAGAUCAAGGCAAAACAUUUAAAAGUAGGAAAUGCAGUAGGAAAUACACUAGCAAAUGAAUAAACCAAAGCAAAAAUAUCCAGAUAUGCAUGAAUUAGAUUACAGUAACAUUUGCUUGAUGAAUAAGAAAAUCCUUAACAUAAAAAGGGUUUCAAAAGAACGUUGGACGAUUGACUUUUGGUUUGAAGGACUUGCUACUCUCAUUCGAUUCUCUGUGGAGUAAAAAUAGUCUUAAGAUGAAGAAGAGAGGGAUGAACAGAGGAAUGAAGUGAUACAAACUUUUCUGUAUCAAGAAAGGAAGGAGACCUUGAAAAUGGACUCCAAACAUCAAGACAGCUGAAUAAUAACCUAAAUAUAUACCUAGUUGGCCUGACCGCCUGCAUUGAAAGCAUAUACAACUAUACAGAUAUAUUUGCAAUAUAAGUAUAUACAGAUUAAUAUAUCAAUUCACAUUUGAUAAAAGUUGUGUGUGUUGGGCUACGAUGAUUGAGACUCAAGUUAAGAUGGCUACCUGGCCGGCAGUGGCUGUCGCCUACUAUGGUUUGCCGAAGGAUGUAAUAUUUGAUCAGGGAACACAAUUCAGAGAAGAUGUUUUUGAAUUUAUGUUGGUUUUUUUUGUAGGUUUUUGACAAAAAUAAGAGACCACUUGCAUGCAUGUCUUGACUUGUAGAUAGCCAACCUUUUUAAUUUAGUUUGUGAAUUCAUACUUGUUUGUCUGUGUUUUUACCUUGGGAUAUAACGAGCCAGUUGCUUAGAGCCUUUGGAGAGUGAAUUGAACAUACUGUAAGUGUUUCGGCUCCAUGUGGGUUGACUGUGGGUAAGGACAGAAACAGAAUACCCCCCCCCCCUUCAACCCUCUUCUCCCCUGCCUUGCUGUGGGAGGGGUCUGACUAUAUUAAUGCACAUGCCUACCCACCCCAUCCCCUCCAAACAUCCAUGCCAGAACAUGGGCAUAAGUCUGAGAAUAUUCAAUUUGUCAGAACCAUCACUGUCCCCUUCCCCACUGCCCCACUGCCCCCCUCCAAUUCCAACCCACCCUACACCAGUACCUGGUCUCAUUACCUGGACUGUUAAUGUAACUUGUUUCACUGAAUGUAUUUUGUAGUACUACAGAGACCAACACCAAUCCUUAACCUAUUGCCACCGUGCUGUAUCGGUAUGACAUGUAUUUAUAUGAAGAAUAUAUAUGCAAUAUUAUAUAGGCAUGCUUUGGGCUAAACGAUACCCAGGUUUUUGUAUGUCAUUGUAAGGACCGACUGUAACGUUAAAGGAACAUUGUUUUGAGGUUUGAUCGAUUGAUUUGCAGCAGUUCUCUCUGUACCUGUAACACACUCAUUUGUCUGUAUUCAAAUGUGUCACCAUGCCAUCUGGAAUAAGUCACACAGUUGGUUCUAAUUCUACUGCGGUAACACAACAAAGGACUGUUAUAUUGACACACUUCAGAUGUUUACUGGAAGGUCAUAACACCUCUUAUAAAACCUUCAGUACCACUACAUGAUGCUUCGUAACAACCUUGUUUGGACUUACGUUCAUGUUCGUAUUACUCUCGUAACUGAUACUCUUCAACUCCCAUUUGAUUUCAAUACUGUAAGUUGACAUUAGAGAUUAUUAAUAUUUUCUUGAUUCAACUGCUUGUCUUAUCAAGGGCUAAUGUAGGUGUUAGCUACACAUGAGAUCAAAGAGAAAUAAUUCUAUGAUAAUUUGAUUGAAUUGAUCUGGCCUGAAUUUAAAAUGUUCAAAGAGAUAUAAAAUGAUUGAAAAAGCACCUGUAAUUUGUGAAAAAGGUCACCAUAUUAACAUCUAAGGUCUCCUUUGAAUCCUCUAAACUAUGAACACACAUUGGUUAAUUCCUUGAUGAAUAAAAAACAAUUCUGCCCCUGUCUAAGCAUGCAAAGCACUAGAUAAAACCAGGAAACUCUCAACAAUAUAAUGAGAACACUUUUGGCAUCUGUACUGUAUUUCUAGAAACAACAAAUAGAAAUAGGACCACAGCUGUUGAAUGACUCAACAUGGUCACGAUGUUAAAAAGCACUGAACUCAAGACAGCCUGACAGCACAUCUUUGGGUAUGAUAACAAAAAUGGCAGCAAGUUGAUGUUGCUAUACAAGUUAUAUUGUACAAUAGCACGCUCGUACAGCCACAGUGUGCUUCACUUGACAGGUGGGCUGAAGAGACAUCCCUGUCGAAAGAGCUCUAAUUUUUAUCUCUGGGCAACAGGCAUGUACAAACUAACUUCCCACAC